Molecule: ribosomal RNA, 240 nt
Filed under: uncultured bacterium
Lineage: Bacteria
Description: partial 16S ribosomal RNA
Rfam family: Bacterial small subunit ribosomal RNA
Source: RNAcentral
GAUCCAUGGCUCAGGAUGAACGCUAGCUACAGGCUUAACACAUGCAAGUCGAGGGGCAGCAUGAACUUAGCUUGCUAAGUUUGAUGGCGACCGGCGCACGGGUGAGUAACACGUAUCCAACCUGCCGAUGACUCGGGGAUAGCCUUUCGAAAGAAAGAUUAAUACCCGAUGGCAUAGUUCUUCCGCAUGGUAGAACUAUUAAAGAAUUUCGGUCAUCGAUGGGGAUGCGUUCCAUUUAGG